CCGCUGAAAGCAUCUAAGCGGGAAGCCUGUUUUAAGAUGAGGUUUCGUUAAGGUCCCCUAAAGACGAUAGGGUAGAUAGGCCAGACCUGGACGCACUGUAAGGUGUGAAGGCUACUGGUACUAAUUGACCACAACAAACACCAACACACUCUAUGUG
This 157-nucleotide ribosomal RNA is filed under the name Staphylococcus epidermidis. Its description in RNAcentral is "partial 23S ribosomal RNA". It matches the Rfam family "Bacterial large subunit ribosomal RNA", at positions 2768 to 2925 of the family's 2925-position model. The record is from RNAcentral. Lineage: Bacteria; Bacillati; Bacillota; Bacilli; Caryophanales; Staphylococcaceae.